RNAcentral lists this unclassified non-coding RNA (197 nucleotides) under uncultured fungus. RNAcentral describes it as "sequence contains ITS1". The record is from RNAcentral. Lineage: Eukaryota; Fungi.
UUAUUAAAUUUGCAUGAAGACUUUCUAACUAAAAAAAUGUUUGAGAAAACCUUUGGCGGGGACUCUCCCUUUUCAAGGAGCGCUGCAAACAGCGGCCCCGCCAAAGCGACCAUAACAAAUUCACAAAGGUGUAGGAUGGGAAUGAGGCUUUUUCAGCCUAUUCAGUAAUGAUCCUUCCGCAGGUUCACCUACGGAAA